UGGAGGACACGGUACAGUAUUCCUUAGGUCUAAGGGUCAGAUCGCAAGUUUUUCCCAAUCCGACUCUUUAAUCUUCUUCUAAAUCAAUAGAAGCUUGGGAAAUUCAUCUUAAAUUGAGGAAAAAAAUUAGAAAAAUGUGAAAUCACUUGGGUUGGAAUCCUCUUUCUGAGUAGAAUCCAAUAAAAUGGGUUUCACACCUUUCCUGUAGUUUUGCUACAGUUUCUGGGCUAAAUCUUGCAAGUGUUGUUGAAAUAACCGUCUAAGUGUUGACCCUUGCAUUUGCAUUCCGUGUAGAGCUAAACCUCGCUG
Molecule: long non-coding RNA, 309 nt
Filed under: Setaria viridis
Lineage: Eukaryota; Viridiplantae; Streptophyta; Magnoliopsida; Poales; Poaceae
Description: long non-coding RNA (SVIR_LNC010692)
Source: RNAcentral